RNAcentral lists this microRNA precursor (193 nucleotides) under Oryza barthii. RNAcentral's name for it is "MIR812 microRNA precursor family". It matches the Rfam family "MIR812 microRNA precursor family". Lineage: Eukaryota; Viridiplantae; Streptophyta; Magnoliopsida; Poales; Poaceae. The record is from Rfam by way of RNAcentral.
UAUAAGUGCAGUUGUGGAUUUUCAUGUUCAACACCUGUUUUAUUUAAUUUUUUAUAGUUAGCAUUUUAAUUAUUAUUAGAUGAUAAAACAUAUAUAAUACUUAUGUGUGACUUACUUUUUUAAUUUUUUUAUAAACUUUUUAAAUAGAUCGAGCGGUCAAACAUAGGAUAAAAAACCGACAACUAUACUUAAA